AUUGAACGCUGGCGGCAGGCCUAACACAUGCAAGUCGAGCGGAUGAAGGGAGCUUGCUCCUGGAUUCAGCGGCGGACGGGUGAGUAUGCCUAGGAAUCUGCCUUGUAGUUGGGGAUAACGUCCGGAAACGGGCGCUUAUACCGCAUACGUCCUUAGGGAGAAAGUGGGGGAUCUUCGGACCUCACGCUUUCCGAUGAGCCUAGGUCGGAUUAGCUAGUUGGUGGGGUAAAGGCCUACCAAGGCGACGAUCCGUAACUGGUCUGAGAGGAUGAUCAGUCACACUGGAACUGAGACACGGUCCAGACUCCUACGGGAGGCAGCAGUGGGGAAUAUUGGACAAUGGGCGAAAGCCUGAUCCAGCCAUGCCGCGUGUGUGAAGAAGGUCUUCGGAUUGUAAAGCACUUUAAGUUGGGAGGAAGGGCAGUAAGUUAAUACCUUGCUGUUUUGACGUUACCAACAGAAUAAGCACCGGCUAACUUCGUG
RNAcentral lists this ribosomal RNA (483 nucleotides) under uncultured bacterium. Its description in RNAcentral is "partial 16S ribosomal RNA". It matches the Rfam family "Bacterial small subunit ribosomal RNA", at positions 30 to 507 of the family's 1533-position model. The record is from RNAcentral.